This is a long non-coding RNA of Myiozetetes cayanensis, 325 nucleotides long. RefSeq lists it as uncharacterized. The transcript has 4 exons. The record is from RefSeq and is a predicted model, not a curated record. Lineage: Eukaryota; Metazoa; Chordata; Aves; Passeriformes; Tyrannidae.
AUCCAGGAGGGAAUCAGAGCUGGAUCCAGGAGGGAAUUCCAGCUCCCUGGAGUCAAAUCCAGCCUGGAAUCAGAGCUGGAUCUGGGGUAGAAUCAGAAGCUCCUGGAGAUGCAUCCAGGGUGGAAUCAGAGCUGGAUCCAGGGUGGAAUCAGAGCUGGAUCUGGGGUGGAAUCAGAAGCUCCUGCAGAUGCAUCCAGGGUGGAAUCAGAGCUGGAUCCAGGAUGGAAUCAGAGCUGGAUCUGGGGUGGAAUCAGAAGCUCCUGGAGGUGGAUCCAGAGUGGAGGAUCCAGAGUGGAAUCAGAGCUGGAUCCAGGGGGGAAUCAGA